CACUUCUAAGGAAGGCAGCAGGCGCGCAAAUUACCCAAUCCUGACUCAGGGAGGUAGUGACAAGAAAUAACAAUAAACCGGCUUAUGCCGGUUUAAUUGGAAUGAGUACAAUUUAAACAUCUUAACGAGGAACAAUUGGAGGGCAAGUCUGGUGCCAGCAGCCGCGGUAAUUCCAGCUCCAAUAGCGUAUACUAAAGUUGUUGCAGUUAAAAAGCUCGUAGUUGGAUUUCUGUGGGGACGGAGCGGCCGGCCGCAACACGCGGUUCGAGCUAGCGCUUUCCCUACAUCCUGCCGCGAACCGUGCUACCAUUAGUUUGGUGGCGCCGGGGAUCGGCUCGAUUACUUUGAGAAAAAUAGAGUGUUCAAAGCAGGCCACAUGCCUUGAAUAAGUUAGCAUGGAAUAAUAACUAAGGACUUCGGUUCUAUUUUGUUGGUGUUCGGGACUGAAGUAAUGAUUGAUAGGGACAGUUGGGGCGGUCUGUAUUCCAAAGCGAGAGGUGAAAUUCUUAGACCUUCGGAAGACAAACAGCUGCGAAAGCGUUCCGCAAGGAUGUUCCCUUUGAUCAAGAACGAAAGUUGGGGGAUCGAAGACGAUCAGAUACCGUCGUAGUCUUAACUAUAAACUAUACCAGCUAGGGAUCGGCCAACGUUAUUCUAUACCGACUUGGUCGGCACCUUAUGAGAAAUCAAAGCAUCUGGGUUCCGGGGGGAGUAUGGUCGCAAGGCUGAAACUUAAAGGAAUUGACGGAAGGGCACCACCAGCCGUGGAGCCUGUGGCUUAAUUUGACUCAACACGGGAAAACUUACCAGGUCCAGACAUAGUAAGGAUUGACAGAUUGAUAGCUCUUUCUUGAUUCUGUGGGUGGUGGUGCAUGGCCGUUCUUAGUUGGUGGAGUGAUUUGUCUGGUUAAUUCCGUUAACGAACGAGACCCCAGCCUGCUAAAUAGUUCGCUUAAUGAAUUUCAUUUCGUAGAGCUUCUUAGAGGGACUUUGCGUGACUAACGCAAGGAAGUUGGGGGCAAUAACAGGUCUGUGAUGCCCUUAGAUGUUCUGGGCCGCACACAGGCUAUACUGGCGCCUGCAACGAGCAUAUCAGCUGGCCCGAGAGGGUCUUGGCUAAUCUUUUGAACCGGCGCCGUGCUUGGGAUUGACCUUUGCAAUUGUUGGUCAUGCAACGAGGAAUGCCUUGUAAACGCGAGUCAUCAGCUCGCAUUGAAUACGUCCCUGCCCUUUGUACACACCGCCCGUCGCUCCUACCGAUGAAUGUUCCGAUGAAAUUUUCGGAGAGCACCUGUGAACUUGGCUCUGCCUUGCGAACGGGAGGCUCAAAGUCACUUAAAUCUGAACAUUUCGAGG
RNAcentral lists this ribosomal RNA (1356 nucleotides) under uncultured marine eukaryote. Its description in RNAcentral is "SSU rRNA". It matches the Rfam family "Eukaryotic small subunit ribosomal RNA", at positions 411 to 1779 of the family's 1831-position model. The record is from RNAcentral.